AUUGUUCGCAAUGGGCGCAAGCCUGACGACGCAACGCCGCGUGGAGGAUGAAGAUCUUCGGGUCGUAAACUCCUUUCGAUCGAGACGAAUGGCCUUCGGGUUAACAGCCUGGAGGAAUGUCGGUACCGAGAGCAGAAGCCCCGGCUAACCCCGUGCCAGCAGCCGCGGUAACACGGGGGGAGCAAGCGUUGUUCGGAAUCACUGGGCGUAAAGGGCGUGUAGGCGGUCAGGUAAGUGGGAUGUGAAAUGCCCCGGCUCACCCGGGGACCUGCAUCCCAAACUGCUUGGCUUGAGUAUGGGAGAGGAUGAGGGAAUUCCUGGUGUAGCGGUGAAAUGCGUAGAUAUCUGGAGGAACACCGGUGGCGAAGGCGGCAUCCUGGACCGGCAUUGACGCUGAGGCGCGAAAGCCAGGGGAGCAAAC
Molecule: ribosomal RNA, 421 nt
Filed under: uncultured bacterium
Lineage: Bacteria
Description: bacterial SSU rRNA
Rfam family: Bacterial small subunit ribosomal RNA
Source: RNAcentral